UACGAAGGGUGCUAGCGUUGUUCGGCAUUACUGGGCGUAAAGCGCGCGUAGGCGGCUAUCCAAGUCAGGGGUGAAAUCCUUGGGCUCAACCCAAGAAUUGCCUUUGGAACUGGAUAGCUAGAGUGUCGGAGGGGAUAGCGGAAUUCCUAAUGUAGAGGUGAAAUGCGUAGAUAUUAGGAGGAACACCGGUGGCGAAGGCGGCUAUCUGGACGACAACUGACGCUGAGGCGCGAAAGCACGGGGAUCAAACAGG
This 253-nucleotide ribosomal RNA is filed under the name uncultured bacterium. RNAcentral describes it as "partial 16S ribosomal RNA". It matches the Rfam family "Bacterial small subunit ribosomal RNA", at positions 524 to 776 of the family's 1533-position model. The record is from RNAcentral.